GGGCCCGCACAAGCGGCGGAGCAUGCUGAUUAAUUCGAUGCAACGCGAAGAACCUUACCUGGGUUUGACAUAUGGGGAAAACUCACAGAGAUGUGAGGUCCUUUUGGGCUCCAUACAGGUGGUGCAUGGCUGUCGUCAGCUCGUGUCGUGAGAUGUUGGGUUAAGUCCCGCAACGAGCGCAACCCUUGUUCCAUGUUGCCAGCACGUAGUGGUGGGGACUCAUGGGAGACUGCCGGGGUCAACUCGGAGGAAGGUGGGGAUGACGUCAAGUCAUCAUGCCCCUUAUGUCCAGGGCUUCACACAUGCUACAAUGGCUCAUACAGAGGGCUGCGAGACCGUGAGGUGGAGCGAAUCCCUUAAAGUGAGUCUCAGUUCGGAUCGGGGUCUGCAACUCGACCCCGUGAAGUUGGAGUCGCUAGUAAUCGCAGA
RNAcentral lists this ribosomal RNA (429 nucleotides) under uncultured Actinomycetes bacterium. RNAcentral's name for it is "bacterial SSU rRNA". It matches the Rfam family "Bacterial small subunit ribosomal RNA", at positions 917 to 1348 of the family's 1533-position model. The record is from RNAcentral. Lineage: Bacteria; Bacillati; Actinomycetota; Actinomycetes.